RNAcentral lists this ribosomal RNA (253 nucleotides) under uncultured bacterium. Its description in RNAcentral is "partial 16S ribosomal RNA". It matches the Rfam family "Bacterial small subunit ribosomal RNA", at positions 524 to 776 of the family's 1533-position model. The record is from RNAcentral.
UACGUAGGUGGCAAGCGUUGUCCGGAAUUAUUGGGCGUAAAGCGCGCGCAGGUGGUUCUUUAAGUCUGAUGUGAAAGCCCACGGCUCAACCGUGGAGGGUCAUUGGAAACUGGGGGACUUGAGUGCAGGAGAGAAGAGUGGAAUUCCACGUGUAGCGGUGAAAUGCGUAGAGAUGUGGAGGAACACCAGUGGCGAAGGCGACUCUUUGGUCUGUAACUGACGCUGAGGCGCGAAAGCGUGGGGAGCAAACAGG